This 71-nucleotide transfer RNA is filed under the name Tethya wilhelma. RNAcentral describes it as "trnR". It matches the Rfam family "tRNA". From Rfam's summary of the family: Transfer RNA (tRNA) molecules are approximately 80 nucleotides in length. Lineage: Eukaryota; Metazoa; Porifera; Demospongiae; Tethyida; Tethyidae. The record is from RNAcentral.
AUGCUUAUAAUUUAAGGGUAAAAUAUCUAUCUUCGGAAUAGAGUAUAAGGGUUCGAUUCUCUUUAGGCAUU